Molecule: long non-coding RNA, 479 nt
Organism: Aphis gossypii (cotton aphid)
Lineage: Eukaryota; Metazoa; Arthropoda; Insecta; Hemiptera; Aphididae
Exons: 3
Source: RefSeq, a predicted model, not a curated record
GUGUGACUAUAUGUAUUUUCCUGUAUUUUCUAUGCGAUCGACUCGACACGACUUGCAGAAUUACAGUGUGAGAAAUUAUCGUAAAUGUAUUUUUAUGUAUUUAUAUAAUACACUAUAUAAAAACGAAAAUUGCGUGUAUUCGCAUCAUCCGUCGCGUAUAAUAUGAAUACAAUAUUUAUUUUGUCAUGGUCAAAAUAUUCGGGUAUACGGUAAUUUAAUGAGUCGUAUCAUACACCGCGCGUGAUCUCCAGACUGCAGCUGUGUAGCACAACAAUACACGAUCGUAUGCAAUCAUAAUAAUAUAAUAUACAUUUGGUCGAAGCUGUUCACAGUCCACCGAAUUCGCGGUAGCGGUAUUUUGUCAUGGCAAGAUCCGACAGCGCCGAAGAGGAUUUUUUCUCAGUUUUUAAUUACGCUAAGACUACCGUUUCUAUGUUGCAUUGUCUGAAUUUUCAACAAAGAAUAACAAAAAAAAAAAC